RNAcentral lists this ribosomal RNA (253 nucleotides) under uncultured bacterium. RNAcentral's name for it is "partial 16S ribosomal RNA". It matches the Rfam family "Bacterial small subunit ribosomal RNA", at positions 524 to 776 of the family's 1533-position model. The record is from RNAcentral.
UACGGAGGGUGCAAGCGUUAUCCGGAUUCACUGGGUUUAAAGGGUGCGUAGGUGGAGUGGUAAGUCAGUGGUGAAAUCUCCAAGCUUAACUUGGAAACUGCCGUUGAUACUAUCAUUCUUGAAUAUCGUGGAGGUAAGCGGAAUAUGUCGUGUAGCGGUGAAAUGCUUAGAUAUGACAUAGAACACCGAUUGCGAAGGCAGCUUGCUACACGAUCAUUGACACUGAGGCACGAAAGCGUGGGGAUCAAACAGG